AUGAGGGACUUCUAUUUAGCUGAUCCAAGAGCGAGCACAACGCAGCGCCAAGAGAGAGAGAGAGAGAGGAUGGGCACCGACGCCUCCGUCCAUCAGCAGGAGCCAUGGUUCGUCUUGCUGGCCAUCCUCGGCGCACUCUACGUCGCCGCCUUCGUGUACCGCCUCCUGUAUGUCUCCGGCCUCACGCUCUGCCUGCGCCGCGCCAAGGACCUCCGCGGCCACUACGGGGCAUGGGCUGUGGUCACCGGCCCAACGUCCAGCAUUGGCCGCUCGAUGGCCCUGGAGCUCGCGCGGCGCCGUCUCAACCUCGUUCUUGUGGGCCGCGACCCCACCGCGCUCCAGGACAUCUCCAAGACCGCCUCGGAGACCCACGGCGUGCUCACAAAGACCGUGCAGUUCGACCUCUCCCUCGUCUCCACUCGUCAAGGGGAGGAGGCGAUGGGGCGGCUCCGGGAGGCCGUGGAGGGGCUGGAGGUCGGGGUGCUGGUGAACAACGCCGGCUUGGCAACACCGCACGCAGCAUACCUGCACGAGGUCGACGUGGAGGCGUGGGUCAAGAUGAUACGGGUGAACCUGUGGGCUGUGACUGAGGUGACGGCGGCCGUGCUGCCCGGGAUGGUGGAGCGAGGGAGGGGCGCCGUCAUCAACAUCGGCUCCGGCUCCACGGAGGCGCUACCCUCCUAUCCCCUCUACUCCGUCUACGCCGCCACCAAGCGGUACGUUGCUCAGUUCUCCAGGAGCAUAUGCAUUGAGUACAGGGGCAAAGGAAUCGAUGUCCAGUGUCAGGCCCCAUUGUAUGUGGACACAAAGAUGGUGACGAACAUGGUGAACCGGGAAGGCCUCUUCUCAUGGCUGACCAUGCCGACGUCGGAUGCCUACGCCAAUGCAGCUACGUGCUGGAUCGGGCACCGCAGCCCGAUCUGCAUGCCCAACCUGAGCCACCGGCUCCAGUGGUGCCUCAUCCACUUUAUCCCAGACCGCUUCAUCGUGGCGCACCGCCUCCGCGAGACUCUUCGGCAGCGGGCUGUCUUCCAACGGCUGAGGGCAUCAGCUGAGGGUUGGAAUCGUCGCAUGCCAUCAGCGGCUGCCUCAACCGCCAGUGAAGUUAGCUAA
This 1113-nucleotide ribosomal RNA is filed under the name Triticum aestivum (bread wheat). RNAcentral's name for it is "partial small subunit ribosomal RNA". The record is from RNAcentral. Lineage: Eukaryota; Viridiplantae; Streptophyta; Magnoliopsida; Poales; Poaceae.